GACGAACGCUCGCGGCGUGCUUAACACAUGCAAGUCGAACGGAAAGGCCCUGCUUUUGUGGGGUGCUCGAGUGGCGAACGGGUGAGUAACACGUGAGUAACCUGCCCUUGACUUUGGGAUAACUUCAGGAAACUGGGGCUAAUACCGGAUAGGAGCUCCUGCUGCAUGGUGGGGGUUGGAAAGUUUCGGCGGUUGGGGAUGGACUCGCGGCUUAUCAGCUUGUUGGUGGGGUAGUGGCUUACCAAGGCUUUGACGGGUAGCCGGCCUGAGAGGGUGACCGGCCACAUUGGGACUGAGAUACGGCCCAGACUCCUACGGGAGGCAGCAGUGGGGAAUAUUGCACAAUGGGCGGAAGCCUGAUGCAGCAACGCCGCGUGCGGGAUGACGGCCUUCGGGUUGUAACCCGCUUUCGCCUGUGACGAAGCGUGAGUGACGGUAAUGGGUAAAGAAGCACCGGCUAACUACGUG
Molecule: ribosomal RNA, 468 nt
Filed under: uncultured bacterium
Lineage: Bacteria
Description: partial 16S ribosomal RNA
Rfam family: Bacterial small subunit ribosomal RNA
Source: RNAcentral